GGAGAAAUGCUUAAUAAAAAGAAGAAGAGAAAAAACGAACAUGAAAAGAUGCUCUUACUAAUAUCCGGACAUUUAGUGGGCGCAGUAUAUGACACAUCUUCCUCCCGAACAUGAUUACGUUCACAAAUAAACGGAAGUAAACACAUCUUCCUCCCGAACAUGAUUACAUUCACAAAUAAACAGAAGUAACACUGGACGGCUCGCAUUAUUCUGGUUUUCGAUACACGGUAGAGCUCUUUUUACCCGGUGCAGAUACCGUAGCACCAU
This 267-nucleotide long non-coding RNA is filed under the name Hordeum vulgare. Its description in RNAcentral is "long non-coding RNA (HVUL_LNC020504)". The record is from RNAcentral. Lineage: Eukaryota; Viridiplantae; Streptophyta; Magnoliopsida; Poales; Poaceae.